GUUGAGUCGGGUCCGGUGGGUGGGGUAAGACGGAGGGGGGUAGAGUUGUACGGAAUCACUGGGCGUAAAGGUCGCGUAGGCGGCUCAUGAAGUGGCUGUGGAAAGCCCGGGGCUCAACUCCGGGGCUGCCGGUCAGACGGGUGGGCGUGAGCACGGUAGAGGCGGAUGGAAUUCCCGGUGUAGCGGUGGAAUGCGUAGAGAUCGGGAAGAAUACCGGUGGCGAAGGCGUUCCGCUGGGCCGUUGCUGACGCUGAGGCGCGACAGCGUGGGGAGCAAACAGAAUUAGAUACCCGGGUAGUC
RNAcentral lists this ribosomal RNA (300 nucleotides) under uncultured Ignisphaera sp. RNAcentral describes it as "bacterial SSU rRNA". The stretch from base 52 to 300 matches the Rfam family "Bacterial small subunit ribosomal RNA", at positions 547 to 795 of the family's 1533-position model. Lineage: Archaea; Thermoproteati; Thermoproteota; Thermoprotei; Desulfurococcales; Desulfurococcaceae. The record is from RNAcentral.